AUUUUCAUUCGAAUUCAGUCAAUUUUACAGCAAAAAUAUGUUCACGACUGAAUUCUCGGUAUUCUGGCGUUUCUAUUGAUAUGUAAUAUGUUCCACUUUCCUCGAAAAACACUGAAGAUCUUGAUUUUUGAAAUUUCAAUUUCCUUCCACUUACCACUCGGGUUGCUCAAGUCGAAGUCACGUGUGUGGUUGUGUUUUGAUUUCCAUCCGUGUUUACUUACUGUUUUUCACGUUAUCAAUACGGAUCGGUACCAGCAGUGAUCAUUUCCAAUGCGAGGGAUGCUUGUACUUUCUAUUUCUAAGUUUUUUGAAGCCUAAUUUGUACCUUUGUGCGUCACUCCCAUCCUGUUUUCCUCUAAGACCGAAAAUCUGGAAUGAAGCUAAUCAGCAAGGUAAGUAAAGUUCUGAAGGUUGCACUGAAGUCCAAAUUUGUGGCAAGCUUACUUGUAAACUUCUUAAAAAGAUGAUUAUCUUUUUCAAAAUGUCAUGCAUUUUCCAAUUAAACUUGAUAAGAACAGUCAGGUAGGAGAUUUGCCGGGUGUAGUUUGGCACUUGGGCUGCAUGAAAAGUCCAUGAUAGGUACCUUGUAGGAGUUGGUCAGAGUUCGUUUCUUUGACUGCCUGUUUGUUCCUUCUGUUUCUUUUUAGUUAGUUUUCGUUUUUAUUUUUUGGGGCGAUUAAUUUGAAAACUGUUGAUAAUUUUUUACAGGUUGUGGAGUUUAUGUUUUGGGGACGUUCUCCUGAACCUGAGAUUUGAAGCAAAAUUACCCUGGUGUUCGUCAUUCCUGCGAUUUACACCCAGUCAUGCUUAAUUGUGUUGACUAAGACGGCUCAAAGUGGGCGUCAGUCUCUGCAGUAAACCGGUAUUAGUGCACAAUGGUCACUUGUUGUGUUAAAGGCUGCACCAGUCGCACAUCAACAUCGGGCCCGAAGAUUCCCAAUAUCUCUUUUUAUCGAUUUCCAACAGAUCCUGUUUUGCGGAAAAGGUGGUUAAACAGGAUUAAUCGCAAAGAUUUUUCACCAACCAUUCACUCCAGGGUAUGUUCCCGGCACUUCCAGCUUAAUUCAGCGGUUCCGUCUAUAUUUCCAAAAGGCACACAUAUACCUAAGGGAUUGCUGCUAAUCAAGUUUUUGCACCACGAUCUUCGUACGAGGAUGCAAAAGCAGUUGGCUGUUUGGUCAAAUGUAGCAGAUUUGAACUGUCAAGUUGAGAGUUUUGUAAUUAUUUGCCUGGUUGAUAAAGGGGUUGAGACCACCCGGAAACGCCCUCCUAGGCAUUUAUGUAUUAUGUUUGUCUCUAGCCAUGGAUGCCCACUUUAUUUUGUUUUUCAUUCAAUUAUGUGGUAAGUUGAUAGAAAUAAAAAUAAUUACCUAGGUUUAUUUUUAAUCUAACAGAAGUUAUUCAUUCUGCAACAAGUAGU
Molecule: long non-coding RNA, 1420 nt
Filed under: Bemisia tabaci
Lineage: Eukaryota; Metazoa; Arthropoda; Insecta; Hemiptera; Aleyrodidae
Description: lncRNA ENSSSA1UGG006625
Source: RNAcentral